GAUGAACGCUAGCGGCAGGCCUAACACAUGCAAGUCGAGGGGGAGGUUACUUUCGGGUAACUGAGACCGGCGAACGGGUGCGUAACGCGUAUACAAUCUGCCCUUCACUGGGGGAUAGCCCGAAGAAAUUUGGAUUAAUACCCCAUAGUAUAGUAGUGUGGCAUCACACAACUAUUAAAGCUUAGGUGGUGAAAGAUGAGUAUGCGUUCUAUUAGCUAGUUGGAGAGGUAACGGCUCCCCAAGGCUACGAUAGAUAGGGGUUCUGAGAGGGAUGUCCCCCACACUGGUACUGAGAUACGGACCAGACUCCUACGGGAGGCAGCGUGAGGAAUAUUGGACAAUGGUCGGAAGACUGAUCCAGCCAUGCCGCGUGCAGGAUGAAGGUCUUAUGGAUUGUAAACUGCUUUUGUAAGGGAAGAAUAAGAGCUACGAGUAGUUUGAUGGCGGUACCUUACGAAUAAGCAUCGGCUA
Molecule: ribosomal RNA, 471 nt
Filed under: Capnocytophaga sp. oral taxon 334
Lineage: Bacteria; Pseudomonadati; Bacteroidota; Flavobacteriia; Flavobacteriales; Flavobacteriaceae
Description: bacterial SSU rRNA
Rfam family: Bacterial small subunit ribosomal RNA
Source: RNAcentral